GACGAACCGUGCGAACGUUGUUCGGAAUCACUGGGCUUAAAGGGCGCGUAGGCGGCCUGGCAAGUGGAUGGUGAAAUCCCUCGGCUUAACCGAGGAACUGCCAUCCAGACUGCUUGGCUUGAGACCGGGAGAGGUGAGUGGAAUUCCCAGUGUAGCGGUGAAAUGCGUAGAUAUUGGGAGGAACACCAGUGGCGAAGGCGGCUCACUGGACCGGUACUGACGCUGAGGCGCGAAAGCGUGGGGAGCAAACGGG
Molecule: ribosomal RNA, 253 nt
Filed under: uncultured bacterium
Lineage: Bacteria
Description: partial 16S ribosomal RNA
Rfam family: Bacterial small subunit ribosomal RNA
Source: RNAcentral